GAUGAAGAACGCAGCGAAAUGCGAUAAGUAAUGUGAAUUGCAGAAUUCAGUGAAUCAUCGAAUCUUUGAACGCAUCUUGCGCUCCUUGGUAUUCUGAGGAGCAUGCCUGUUUGAGUGUCAUUAAAUUCUCAACCUCACCAGUUUUGUAACGAGACAGGUGAAGGCUUGGAUGUGGGGGUUUUGCAGGCUGCCUCAGUGCUGGUCUGCUCUCCUGAAAUGCAUUAGCGAGCUCAUAUUGAGCUUCCGUCUAUUGGUGUGAUAAUUAUCUACGCCGUGGAUUGGACUCAUGCUUGCUUCUAACCGUCCGCAAUGACAAUUUACUUGACCAAUUUGACCUCAAAUCAGGUAGGACUACCCGCUGAACUUAAGCAUAUCAAUAAGCGGAGGA
This 388-nucleotide unclassified non-coding RNA is filed under the name soil metagenome. RNAcentral's name for it is "partial contains 5.8S ribosomal RNA, internal transcribed spacer 2, and large subunit ribosomal RNA". The stretch from base 1 to 120 matches the Rfam family "5.8S ribosomal RNA", at positions 35 to 154 of the family's 154-position model. The record is from RNAcentral.